CUUAUUCCGGAAGAAACCUCCCAGAAUAAACCCGUAUAAAGGGAUUCGAAUAUAGGGAAUGACUAGUUGCUUAAGCGUUCACGUUAGGAUCACAUAAUCAAUUACCUCCUGAAUGUAUCAUUUCUAUUUUCAAUAUCUGAACAUACAAGGAAACUAUAAUCUCCUCCUUCACCUUAUCGAUCUCUUCCUUACAACAAUUCAAUCAUACCAAUAACUGCUAUUUCUAUCAAUAUAUUCACCCUCAUAAUCUCCAUCUGUAAUACUGCGCCCUCAUAGCUUUCAACAUACAAUUAUCCUCAUUCCAAUCAUUAGAAUUCUUCACACAGAAUUGCCAUUCACAUUACACUGUUUUCCACAAAUACAGACUCAUUCUCUCUGCUGAACUACAACCAAAUUUCAGCAUUCAAUCUUUCUUCUUCUCAAAUAAUAUCAAUCACAUUUCUUUUUCAUAAUUCACUUCAUAAUAUUUAAAAACUUUCAAUCCUCUUAUUCAAAGAAAAUAACAAACAAAAGCAAAGAGAUAGCAUCAAGCUUAUCCCGACUCAUACUAUCACAACAAUGGCCCUCGGCUCAUGACUAUCACAGUCUGGCACCUUAAUUAACAUCUACAACUCCUAUAUACUUUUCCCUAAUUUUCCAAAUUCUAACUGUAGUUCUGUAAUUAACUACUUUUAAUAACUAAAUCACUCAUCCGUCCUCUUGAAUUUCCUAUUAUAUGGACUAUUAAUAUAUUUUACCAAUAUGUUUUAAAAACGAAUUAAUAUCUAUUCUACAUAGCCCCACUCCUAUCUAUGCAACAUCCUCACAAACACUCAAUUGAUACCUAUCUAAAAACUACUUAACAAAACUCUACAAAAAUUGCGAUCCCUCUGGCCUAUCUUAUUAAUCAAUUGCCACAGUAUUUGUUAUUGGUUCCACCGAUUCUGGUUCCAACUGCAAAUCUUUGUCUUCUUCCAAUCCUUCUAUCAGCUCCUACCUCAACUGAACUGAAAGGUCUUCAUUGUACUCGCCUAGUAUAUGGACUUGAGCUUCUAAUUUCAAGAUUUGAAC
This 1050-nucleotide long non-coding RNA is filed under the name Physcomitrium patens. RNAcentral describes it as "long non-coding RNA (PPAT_LNC014543)". Lineage: Eukaryota; Viridiplantae; Streptophyta; Bryopsida; Funariales; Funariaceae. The record is from RNAcentral.